GGCGCAGUGGCGGAGUGGUCUAACGCGAUAGACUAGAACAAUUUCUGAGAAUGCCUGUCUGGUGUUCCUCAGUAGGUCUCUAGCCCAUCUAUUCCCUUCGGGGGCGUCUGUUCGAAUCAGGCCUGCGUCG
This is a non-coding RNA of Hypoxylon sp. NC0597, 130 nucleotides long. The record is from the annotation of a GenBank genome assembly. Lineage: Eukaryota; Fungi; Ascomycota; Sordariomycetes; Xylariales; Hypoxylaceae.